CAAAGUGACAAGUAAGAAAAAAAAUCUCAGGCCCAUAUUGGAGGCUCCCCGUGGAAAACUGAACUUGACCUUGUGGAGCGAUUAGAACAGCGACUUGCUCAUCUAUGGAGAGUGACUUAGGGUUUUUUCUCUUCUGAGUACCGCCAUGGAGGAAGAGGAGGAGGACAAACCACUCAUUCUUUUCCUGCACCACAGAAGAUCAUUAGAGCAGGCAAACAGAGAGUCGGAGAACGAGAGGGAGGAGGGAGGGAGGGAGGCCACUUCAUUGUAUAGAAACACAGAGAGAGACAGAGCAAAGCGAGGGAGAGGGACAGAGAGAGAGAGAGAAAGAGAGAGAAACUGAGAGACAAAGACCAUCUCAAAGUAAGAAAGACACACAAUGUGUUUAUUAAUUUCUCAGAGACAGAAAAAGAGAGAUGGAUGUAGAGAACAGUAUCAGAGAGAGAGAAAGAGAGACAGAGAGAGAGGAGAAUUAUUAUUAUUUUUUUUUUUAUUAAUUAUCAUGUUGACAAAGCCAUCUGUCCUUGUGCCGUCUUGAGUGCGGAGCUUCUGUCUGGCAGAUCUCUUCGCCUGACCACCAUGGCGUCACCUCCACUGACCAGCAAAUAGAGACCUGCCUGCAUCCUUCCCUCAAAACAAACCCUCCUGGUGCCACGCAUCCCGUCAAUCACUGUCAGUCUGAACAAAGACAAGAUCCAAUCGACAGCCACAUGGUCCUCCGUGAUAAAAGCAAAAUGGUAGUUCCGGUUUAUUUUGAUCUACAAAGAAGGGCCAUUCUUCUGAAAAGCUUGCAGGUUUGUAUUGUGUGUCCCUUUCUUAUCUUUCAUGACAAAUGCCAUUUUGUUUGUUUCAUGCUGAUCACAGAUCACUAUGGUGCCGAGGGGUUUUCACCUUCAAAGCCAGCAGACCUCUCCCAGGUCACACUGGGAAAUGCUGACAAACCCGAUGCACAGAGGAAAAAAAGAACUCCUAAAUUGAAGUGAUCUUCAUGGAUUCUUAUUCAGCGGGAGCAGAGAUAAGCAGUCAGUAUCUCCUUGGAGAGGAUUUAAAAAGAGCUCUAAAAUUCACUCCAGCAGCUGUGGUGAGAGAGAGCACAGAUAGGGGACACAGGGGCCUUACGAAGCACGGAGAAGAGGAGUUUUUCCACGGAGGGAGCUGUGAAAU
Clupea harengus (Atlantic herring) is the source of this 1164-nucleotide long non-coding RNA. Lineage: Eukaryota; Metazoa; Chordata; Actinopteri; Clupeiformes; Clupeidae. The record is from Ensembl.